GUCUAUCAAUCAACUGAGGGCUUUGUUCGAGUACAACACUAGUCAGGAUUUGUGGUUUUAAAAUGACAGGAAGAAAGAAUUCGUCAUCGACAGGAAGAAAGAAUUCGUCAUUGACAGGAAGGUAAUGCAUCAUCUUCAUCGGACUCAUUAUGACACAUAGAGGCCUUUCGAACCGGAAUAUACAGAAGAGCAGCAAUCACGCUUUGGUUCACUGGAGAUGUCUCCGGACAGACUAAUGCCUCCUGUUUGCAGUCUACUGGACAAGAUAGCAAUUCAAACAAGCCAAAAGACACAGAGGAGAGAACAUGGUGAGGAUUCGGAAGGCGGUGCCAAGGAAGGCAAGGGGCUCCUUAGCGGCGUGGCCACCGUCGAGACUCGUCGCCCAGUUCUUUUCUGAACCUACAUAAAUGUAAUCCUCAAUCUGACUUGAGUUGAAGAAACUAAAUUAUUUUUCUUUCUUUUUACUACAAUAAAAACUAUAUGGUUAGUUUU
Molecule: non-coding RNA, 492 nt
Organism: Musa acuminata subsp. malaccensis (wild Malaysian banana)
Lineage: Eukaryota; Viridiplantae; Streptophyta; Magnoliopsida; Zingiberales; Musaceae
Source: RefSeq, a predicted model, not a curated record